RNAcentral lists this ribosomal RNA (293 nucleotides) under uncultured bacterium. RNAcentral describes it as "partial 16S ribosomal RNA". It matches the Rfam family "Bacterial small subunit ribosomal RNA", at positions 505 to 796 of the family's 1533-position model. The record is from RNAcentral.
GUGUCAGCCGCCGCGGUAAGACGUAGGGGGCGAGCGUUGUCCGGAUUUACUGGGCGUAAAGCGCGCGUAGGCGGCUCGUUAAGUCGGUGGUGAAAUCCCGGGGCUCAACCCCGUGGACUGCCUCCGAUACUGGCGGGCUCGAGGCAGGUAGGGGAGAGUGGAAUUCCUGGUGUAGCGGUGAAAUGCGCAGAUACCAGGAGGAACACCGGUGGCGAAGGCGGCUCUCUGGGCCUGUCCUGACGCUGAGGCGCGAAAGCUAGGGGAGCAAACAGGAUUAGAUACCCCCGUAGUCC